UGGGGAAUAUUGCACAAUGGAGGAAACUCUGAUGCAGCGACGCCGCGUGAGCGAUGAAGUAUUUCGGUAUGUAAAGCUCUAUCAGCAGGGAAGAUAAUGACGGUACCUGAGUAAGAAGCUCCGGCUAAAUACGUGCCAGCAGCCGCGGUAAUACGUAUGGAGCAAGCGUUAUCCGGAUUUACUGGGUGUAAAGGGAGUGUAGGCGGCUUUGCAGGUCAGAUGUGAAAGCCGGGGCUCAACCCCGGGACUGCAUUUGAAACUGUGAAGCUGGAGUGUCGGAGAGGUAAGUGGAAUUCCUAGUGUAGCGGUGAAAUGCGUAGAUAUUAG
RNAcentral lists this ribosomal RNA (327 nucleotides) under uncultured Lachnospiraceae bacterium. Its description in RNAcentral is "bacterial SSU rRNA". It matches the Rfam family "Bacterial small subunit ribosomal RNA", at positions 355 to 700 of the family's 1533-position model. The record is from RNAcentral. Lineage: Bacteria; Bacillati; Bacillota; Clostridia; Lachnospirales; Lachnospiraceae.